CUCAUGUCAGUGUGGAACUUCUUAUUAAAAGCUUGUUAACAAAGAAGAGAUGUUUUGCGAGAGAACAUGAGUUGUUCGUCAUUAAUUACCUGGCCAACCAAUUAUUGUUGUUGCUGCAUUGGAUUAUCAGCCCCGCUCAUAUGAAAUUAUCGGUCUUUUUGGUCUUUCUACGCUCUAAUUUUCUUAUUGUUUCUUCUUAAAUAAUGUAAUUAUUUGUCUUUCUUUUAUUUCUUUGAUAAGACGUAGGGUAUCUUAGAAUUCCUAAUGAGAUCAAGAUAUCUGAGUGCCUAAGUUUCUUUUUGGAAGUAAAAGUACCAAAAGUUGCAAAUAUCCUACUAAUAUUAAUUCUGCAGCUUCUUCUAGAUAUGAUUAAUAGUAUGAUGAUGGCUAUUCUAAGCAUGUGCUUCCAUUUGAGGCUAGCCUUUCAGUCUUUGCAGAGACAUCACAUGUCUUAACAAGUAAGGUAUUGGAUAAUGGCGUGUGCGUUUCUCUACCAAAGAUUCUUGGACUAAAAUGAGCUUUGACCCAGUUCUCUGAUUUAGGUGAUACAUUUGGAAAUCUCUCAGCAGCUAAGAAGCGUCGCUAUGCUAUUUAAACGAGCUAAUGGAAAGGGGGAUUGUGUUACUAGUGUAUACCCUCAAAAUCGAGGGAGCAUGAUUUUGAAGUCUUAAAUCAGGCUAUGAGUUCGAGUCCGGGAGAUUCGAACUGGAGAUCAGAUCUGGCUAAGGAACUUCCGCCUCGAGGAAGCUGAUCGAGGGCCUGGCGCGAUUUGCAUCGAGGGCGUCGCAAUCUCGAAGUGAAAGAGUGGAAAUUUCUAAAGAAUACGUGGACCUGAACAUUAAUUAUAGGAUAAGGGUGGUACAAAAAGGUAUAAGUCCGUACUAGGCCGUUAUACACUUGUACCAAUAGAAUUCUUUACCUUUAUGAGCAAGGUACUAUGUUAGGGUUUUCUCCUCCUAUAUAAAGGAGACUCCAAUGAUUAUUGUA
Nicotiana attenuata is the source of this 987-nucleotide long non-coding RNA. RefSeq lists it as uncharacterized. NCBI's taxonomy places the organism in Eukaryota, Viridiplantae, Streptophyta, Magnoliopsida, Solanales, Solanaceae. The record is from RefSeq and is a predicted model, not a curated record. The transcript has 4 exons.